RNAcentral lists this transfer RNA (73 nucleotides) under Sandaracinaceae bacterium. RNAcentral describes it as "tRNA-Val". It matches the Rfam family "tRNA". From Rfam's summary of the family: Transfer RNA (tRNA) molecules are approximately 80 nucleotides in length. Their secondary structure includes four short double-helical elements and three loops (D, anti-codon, and T loops). Lineage: Bacteria; Pseudomonadati; Myxococcota; Polyangiales; Sandaracinaceae. The record is from RNAcentral.
GCACGGCUUGCCUUCUGGUGAGGGCCCCGGUCUUACAAACCGGUUCAGCAGGGUUCGAUCCCCUGGCCGUGUA